AGCGAACGCUGGCGGCAGGCUUAACACAUGCAAGUCGAGCGGGCACUUCGGUGUCAGCGGCAGACGGGUGAGUAACACGUGGGAACGUGCCCUUUGGUUCGGAAUAACGCUGGGAAACUAGCGCUAAUACCGGAUACGCCCUUUUGGGGAAAGGCUUGCUGCCGAAGGAUCGGCCCGCGUCUGAUUAGCUAGUUGGUGGGGUAAUGGCCUACCAAGGCGACGAUCAGUAGCUGGUCUGAGAGGAUGAUCAGCCACACUGGGACUGAGACAUGGCCCAGACUCCUACGGGAGGCAGCAGUGGGGAAUAUUGGACAAUGGGCGCAAGCCUGAUCCAGCCAUGCCGCGUGAGUGAUGAAGGCCUUAGGGUUGUAAAGCUCUUUUGUCCGGGACGAUAAUGACGGUACCGGAAGAAUAAGCCCCGGCUAACUUCGUG
RNAcentral lists this ribosomal RNA (433 nucleotides) under uncultured bacterium. Its description in RNAcentral is "partial 16S ribosomal RNA". It matches the Rfam family "Bacterial small subunit ribosomal RNA", at positions 29 to 507 of the family's 1533-position model. The record is from RNAcentral.